Leucoraja erinaceus (little skate) is the source of this 1336-nucleotide long non-coding RNA. RefSeq lists it as uncharacterized. The transcript is spliced from 3 exons. The record is from RefSeq and is a predicted model, not a curated record. NCBI's taxonomy places the organism in Eukaryota, Metazoa, Chordata, Chondrichthyes, Rajiformes, Rajidae.
UCAUCUAACAUUUAGUUUGUGGAAUGUUACGUUGGUAAAAGUAGUUUGCCCUCACUGUAGCAACAAAUUGCAAACAUUUGAAUUUAUGGCUGCCAGCUUGGCCUUUUCUUGGGUCAUGGAGGCAGUUAAAGUAUAUAAAUCAAUCUCUUUGUUUGCUAGAUGUUAAAACAUUUUAUCUUUUGCUGUAGUAACGCCAAACAGAUUCCAGGGACUGUUUUGGAAAGCAUUUACAAAGUGGAGCAGCUUAUUUUAUACACGCUGAUAGCAUCUUCUACCAAUAUAUAUAUAUAUCAAGUGAACUAUCUGAUUUCCAUCUAGAUCCUGCCAUUAUUCAUCCACCACCAUUUGAGUUGAUGUGCUUCAGUAUUUGACAAGAUUGCUUCCUGGGAUUCAUUGUAGGAGACAGAUAAUUCUUACUACACAAGGAUUAAUUUGAUAAACCUGGGCAGCCCUGCCUACUACAAGCAUGGCUUAUUUUUUAACUAUGUGUAUAUUUACAUCCCUUGAUCCUGGCCCUGGACACAAGUAAAAUGUUGCCGUCAUUAUCAAGGCCUGGCUCGGGAUACCGAAGAAGGAAGGAGACUGCAGAAAGUGGUGAACAUUGCCCUAUCCAUUACAGAACAUCACAUCCCGCUGCACAUCACUGAAUUCUGUCUUGUAUGCAAGAAAUCAACAAUUUUCAUAAUCAGAUGUAAACCAUCUUGUAGCAAAGGACCAAAUCAGAUGUGAAAAGAGGAAACCAAACCCAAGGAUUAAAAUGAACCACUUCAGACUUUUAACAUGCAUCGUUUAAACCGAAAGGCAAAUAUUGAAGAGGAUGGUGAAACCAAAUUCGAUCAAGUUUCAUGCAUUCAAAACUGGAAAGAUAAUACAAUUGAUUUGACAGAAAUUGACAUCAUGAAUAUAAUAUCCUACAACUUGGAACCACCAUAAGAGGUUAAAUAAAAUCAGUUGAAUAGAUUCAGGAAAUAACAGUUGCAUAUUUAUUGAUUGAGUGCAGACAUGAAUGAGUUAAUUGGAGGAUUAGAAAUCUUGGCCCAUAAAAAUUCUUAACUUUCUAUCAUUAAAAAAAAAAUCUGAUUAUUAAUGGUAGAUUCAUACAAUUUGCCAUGUUAACUUUUGGAAAAGGGAAGUAUUUUAGAUUACCUUGCGUGGGCCAAAGACCCAUCAUUUAUUUAUUUGCCUCUGUACUCCACAAUUUGAGAUUUGUAAUAGAAAAAUAAUAUGUGGUUAAAGUGCAUUGUUAGAUUUUAAUAAAGGCCAUUUUUAUACAUUUUCGUUUCAUCACGCAGAAAUUACAGCAGUGUUUAUACAAUGCAUUCAGAAAGUAUUCAGA